RNAcentral lists this ribosomal RNA (762 nucleotides) under uncultured Streptococcus sp. RNAcentral describes it as "bacterial SSU rRNA". It matches the Rfam family "Bacterial small subunit ribosomal RNA", at positions 28 to 776 of the family's 1533-position model. Lineage: Bacteria; Bacillati; Bacillota; Bacilli; Lactobacillales; Streptococcaceae. The record is from RNAcentral.
GACGAACGCGGCGGCGUGCCUAAUACAUGCAAGUAGAACGCUGAAGGAGGAGCUUGCUCUUCUGGAUGAGUUGCGAACGGGUGAGUAACGCGUAGGUAACCUGCCUGGUAGCGGGGGAUAACUAUUGGAAACGAUAGCUAAUACCGCAUAAUAUUGAUUAUUGCAUGAUAGUCAAUUAAAAGGUGCAAUUGCAUCACUACCAGAUGGACCUGCGUUGUAUUAGCUAGUUGGUGAGGUAACGGCUCACCAAGGCAACGAUACAUAGCCGACCUGAGAGGGUGAUCGGCCACACUGGGACUGAGACACGGCCCAGACUCCUACGGGAGGCAGCAGUAGGGAAUCUUCGGCAAUGGACGGAAGUCUGACCGAGCAACGCCGCGUGAGUGAAGAAGGUUUUCGGAUCGUAAAGCUCUGUUGUAAGAGAAGAACGAGUGUGAGAGUGGAAAGUUCACACUGUGACGGUAUCUUACCAGAAAGGGACGGCUAACUACGUGCCAGCAGCCGCGGUAAUACGUAGGUCCCGAGCGUUGUCCGGAUUUAUUGGGCGUAAAGCGAGCGCAGGCGGUUAGAUAAGUCUGAAGUUAAAGGCUGUGGCUUAACCAUAGUACGCUUUGGAAACUGUUUAACUUGAGUGCAAGAGGGGAGAGUGGAAUUCCAUGUGUAGCGGUGAAAUGCGUAGAUAUAUGGAGGAACACCGGUGGCGAAAGCGGCUCUCUGGCUUGUAACUGACGCUGAGGCUCGAAAGCGUGGGGAGCAAACAGG